Molecule: ribosomal RNA, 432 nt
Filed under: uncultured bacterium
Lineage: Bacteria
Description: partial 16S ribosomal RNA
Rfam family: Bacterial small subunit ribosomal RNA
Source: RNAcentral
AACGAACGCUGGCGGCAUGCCUAACACAUGCAAGUCGAACGAGACCUUCGGGUCUAGUGGCGCACGGGUGCGUAACGCGUGGGAACCUGCCCUUGGUUCGGAAUAACUCCCCGAAAGGGGUGCUAAUACCGGAUAAUGUCUUCGGACCAAAGAUUUAUCGCCUUUGGAUGGGCCCGCGUUGGAUUAGCUAGUUGGUAGGGUAAAAGCCUACCAAGGCGACGAUCCAUAGCUGGUCUGAGAGGAUGAUCAGCCACACUGGGACUGAGACACGGCCCAGACUCCUACGGGAGGCAGCAGUGGGGAAUAUUGGACAAUGGGCGAAAGCCUGAUCCAGCAAUGCCGCGUGAGUGAUGAAGGCCUUAGGGUUGUAAAGCUCUUUUACCCGGGAUGAUAAUGACAGUACCGGGAGAAUAAGCUCCGGCUAACUCCGUG